GAACGCUGGCGGCGUGCUUGACACAUGCAAGUCGAACGAAGCACUCUAUUUGAUUUUCUUCGGAAAUGAAGAUUUUGUGACUGAGUGGCGGACGGGUGAGUAACGCGUGGGUAACCUGCCUCAUACAGGGGGAUAACAGUUGGAAACGACUGCUAAUACCGCAUAAGCGCACAGGAUCGCAUGAUCCGGUGUGAAAAACUCCGGCGGUAUGGGAUGGACCCGCGUCUGAUUAGCCAGUUGGCAGGGUAACGGCCUACCAAAGCGACGAUCAGUAGCCGACCUGAGAGGGUGACCGGCCACAUUGGGACUGAGACACGGCCCAAACUCCUACGGGAGGCAGCAGUGGGGAAUAUUGCACAAUGGGGGAAACCCUGAUGCAGCGACGCCGCGUGAGCGAAGAAGUAUUUCGGUAUGUAAAGCUCUAUCAGCAGGGAAGAAGAAUGACGGUACCUGACUAAGAAGCACCGGCUAAAUACGUGCCAGCAGCCGCGGUAAUACGUAUGGUGCAAGCGUUAUCCGGAUUUACUGGGUGUAAAGGGAGCGCAGGCGGUGCGGCAAGUCUGAUGUGAAAGCCCGGGGCUCAACCCCGGUACUGCAUUGGAAACUGUCGUACUAGAGUGUCGGAGGGGUAAGUGGAAUUCCUAGUGUAGCGGUGAAAUGCGUAGAUAUUAGGAGGAACACCAGUGGCGAAGGCGGCU
This 698-nucleotide ribosomal RNA is filed under the name uncultured Lachnospiraceae bacterium. RNAcentral's name for it is "bacterial SSU rRNA". It matches the Rfam family "Bacterial small subunit ribosomal RNA", at positions 31 to 726 of the family's 1533-position model. Lineage: Bacteria; Bacillati; Bacillota; Clostridia; Lachnospirales; Lachnospiraceae. The record is from RNAcentral.